RNAcentral lists this ribosomal RNA (392 nucleotides) under uncultured bacterium. RNAcentral's name for it is "bacterial SSU rRNA". It matches the Rfam family "Bacterial small subunit ribosomal RNA", at positions 29 to 448 of the family's 1533-position model. The record is from RNAcentral.
AGCGAACGCUGGCGGCAGGCCUAACACAUGCAAGUCGAACGGACCCUUCGGGGUUAGUGGCGGACGGGUGAGUAACACGUGGGAACGUGCCUUUAGGUUCGGAAUAGCUCCUGGAAACGGGUGGUAAUGCCGAAUGUGCCCUUCGGGGAAAGAUUUAUCGCCUUUAGAGCGGCCCGCGUCUGAUUAGCUAGUUGGUGGGGUAAUGGCCCACCAAGGCUACGAUCAGUAGCUGGUCUGAGAGGAUGACCAGCCACAUUGGGACUGAGACACGGCCCAAACUCCUACGGGAGGCAGCAGUGGGGAAUCUUGCGCAAUGGCGAAAGCCUGACGCAGCCAUGCCGCGUGUAUGAUGAAGGUCUUAGGAUUGGUAAAAAUACUUUCACCGGUGAAGA